Mustela erminea (ermine) is the source of this 1009-nucleotide long non-coding RNA. RefSeq lists it as uncharacterized. The transcript has 3 exons. Lineage: Eukaryota; Metazoa; Chordata; Mammalia; Carnivora; Mustelidae. The record is from RefSeq and is a predicted model, not a curated record.
CUGAGUAUGAAUAAAUUCAUCUGAGACUAAUGUUAGUUUAAUAUUAACUUGCCGUGGGAUACCUGAAUUCAAGUUUUAGGGAUAAACUAUAACUCAAAGUGUUAAUCCCUUACUUUUAAUGGGAGGUUGAAUGACACUGUAGAAAACUGGAGGGGAAGAUUUUUUUAAGAAAGUGAAUUUUACAGCAGUGUCUUUCAAAUUGCCUAAUAAGUGAUCACCUAUUUUGCUUGCAGUAAUUUUAAGAAAUAUAUAUUUCAUCCAUCUAUCUAUCAUCUAUCUAUCUAUCUAUCGUCUAUCAUCUAUCUGUAUCACAAUAUAUCAGCUUCUCAUGUCUCUGCUUGUUUCCUUUUUCUUUUUGCCUUUUCCCCUUCCAACUCUGGACUUUAUUUUCAGGCGAAAAGCUUUGCUGUUAGGAGUCAGAGGGAUGUGCUACUGCAGCUGCCAUCUGGACAGCAGUCUCCUCUCUGAGCUUCUCUUUUCCUUGGAAAAUCUUUUUGAAUCUCCCAUUUAUCACUCUCUGGGUCAAUGAAACCAAGGUGCAAAAGUAAGCAUACUCAACUAUAGUAAUAUACAAUUCAAAAUAAAUAAACUCACAUUUCCUAUAUAAAGUUUUUUGAGUUCUGAUUCCAAAACCUACAUACAUGUAAUUAUUCCAUAACCAGAGAUUUUGAAUAUGGGGUGAUUUCCAUGUUACUAUUAUUGUCAUUAUUAUUAUUAUUAUUAUUAUUAUUAUUAUUAUUAUAUUCAAAUGGUUUAAAUUUUUUCAUUGUCACUCAGAUAAGCAGCUAAUUCUACUAACUUGUAAUUCCAUAAAAAAAUGAGCCAUUUGUCCUAGGAACAACAAAAGAUCAAGCUACCUUGAUCUGAAAGAGUACAUGAGUGGAACUUUUGUGUAACUUCGUUUUAUAUCAUCAUUCUGUUUUUACUUCCAAGAGACUGUGAAAAAUGUUGCACUUGGAAUUUAUUUUCAUAUGUAAUUUAUAAUUUUCGUUUUAGCAAUAAAGAUGGU